GUGGGGAAUCUUGCACAAUGGGGGAAACCCUGAUGCAGCGACGCCGCGUGAGCGAUGAAGCCCUUCGGGGUGUAAAGCUCUUUCGGCAGGGAAGAUUAUGACGGUACCUGCAGAAGCAGCUGCGGCUAACUACGUGCCAGCAGCCGCGGUAAUACGUAGGCAGCAAGCGUUGUUCGGAGUUACUGGGCGUAAAGGGUGUGUAGGCGGUUGUUUAAGUUUGGUGUGAAAUCUCCCGGCUCAACUGGGAGGGUGCGCCGAAUACUGAAUGACUUCGAGUGCGGGAGAGGAUAGUGGAAUUCCUGGUGUAGCGGUGAAAUGCGUAGAUAUCAGGAGGAACACCGGUGGUGUAGACGGCUAUCUGGACCGUAACUGACGCUGAGACACGAAAGCGUGGGUAGCAAACAGGAUUAGAUACCCGGGUAGUCC
This 426-nucleotide ribosomal RNA is filed under the name uncultured bacterium. RNAcentral's name for it is "bacterial SSU rRNA". It matches the Rfam family "Bacterial small subunit ribosomal RNA", at positions 354 to 796 of the family's 1533-position model. The record is from RNAcentral.